GACGAACGCUGGCGGCGUGCCUAAUACAUGCAAGUUGAGCGCUGAAGGUUGGUACUUGUACCAACUGGAUGAGCAGCGAACGGGUGAGUAACGCGUGGGGAAUCUGCCUUUGAGCGGGGGACAACAUUUGGAAACGAAUGCUAAUACCGCAUAAAAACUUUAAACACAAGUUUUAAGUUUGAAAGAUGCAAUUGCAUCACUCAAAGAUGAUCCCGCGUUGUAUUAGCUAGUUGGUGAGGUAAAGGCUCACCAAGGCGAUGAUACAUAGCCGACCUGAGAGGGUGAUCGGCCACAGUGGGACUGAGACACGGCCCAAACUCCUACGGGAGGCAGCAGUAGGGAAUCUUCGGCAAUGGACGAAAGGCUGACCGAGCAACGCCGCGUGAGUGAAGAAGGUUUUCGGAUCGUAAAAAUCUGUUGGUAGAGAAGAACGUUGGUGAGAGUGGAAAGCUCAUCAAGUGACGGUAACUACCCAGAAAGGGACGGCUAACUACGUG
RNAcentral lists this ribosomal RNA (497 nucleotides) under uncultured bacterium. RNAcentral's name for it is "partial 16S ribosomal RNA". It matches the Rfam family "Bacterial small subunit ribosomal RNA", at positions 28 to 507 of the family's 1533-position model. The record is from RNAcentral.